UAGAGUUUUGAUCCUGGCUCAGGAGAACGCUGGCGGCGUGCCUAAUACAUGCAAGUCGAGCGAACAGAUAAGGAGCUUGCUCCUUUGACGUUAGCGGCGGACGGGUGAGUAACACGUGGAUAACCUACCUAUAAGACUGGGAUAACUUCGGGAAACCGGAGCUAAUACCGGAUAAGAUUUUGAACCGCAUGGUUCAAUAGUGAAAGACGGCCUUGCUGUCACUUAUAGAUGGAUCCGCGCCGUAUUAGCUAGUUGGUAAGGUAACGGCUUACCAAGGCAACGAUACGUAGCCGACCUGAGAGGGUGAUCGGCCACACUGGAACUGAGACACGGUCCAGACUCCUACGGGAGGCAGCAGUAGGGAAUCUUCCGCAAUGGGCGAAAGCCUGACGGAGCAACGCCGCGUGAGUGAUGAAGGUCUUCGGAUCGUAAAACUCUGUUAUCAGGGAAGAACAAACGUGUAAGUAACUGUGCACGUCUUGACGGUACCUGAUCAGAAAGCCACGGCUAACUACGUGCCAGCAGCCGCGGUAAUACGUAGGUGGCAAGCGUUAUCCGGAAUUAUUGGGCGUAAAGCGCGCGUAGGCGGUUUUUUAAGUCUGAUGUGAAAGCCCACGGCUCAACCGUGGAGGGUCAUUGGAAACUGGAAAACUUGAGUGCAGAAGAGGAAAGUGGAAUUCCAUGUGUAGCGGUGAAAUGCGCAGAGAUAUGGAGGAACACCAGUGGCGAAGGCGACUUUCUGGUCUGUAACUGACGCUGAUGUGCGAAAGGCGUGGGGAUCAAACAGGAU
RNAcentral lists this ribosomal RNA (790 nucleotides) under Staphylococcus pasteuri. Its description in RNAcentral is "bacterial SSU rRNA". It matches the Rfam family "Bacterial small subunit ribosomal RNA", at positions 1 to 778 of the family's 1533-position model. Lineage: Bacteria; Bacillati; Bacillota; Bacilli; Caryophanales; Staphylococcaceae. The record is from RNAcentral.